This 605-nucleotide long non-coding RNA is filed under the name Citrus x clementina. Its description in RNAcentral is "Citrus clementina (C. clementina) long non-coding RNA (CCLE_LNC005967)". Lineage: Eukaryota; Viridiplantae; Streptophyta; Magnoliopsida; Sapindales; Rutaceae. The record is from RNAcentral.
CCCCCAAGGCUAUAGCCCACCCGUUUUUGUGGGCUUUUUCCGCUGGACGAACUUGGCGCUCCGGCCUUCGGGCGGUUAUUUUUGGGCGCGGCUGUGCCCGCGGCCUAUUUUUGGCACACGGAGGUGCCUCGUAAAGUCUCACGCCAUUCCGAGUCCGGCGGACGAAGUUGGUCAGCCCCACCCCCCAAGGCUAUAGCCCACCCGUUUUUGUGGGCUUUUUCCGCUGGACGAAGUUGGCGCCCCGGCCUUCGGGCAGUUAUUUUUGGGCGCGGCUGUGCCCGCUGGCUAUUUUUGUCACACGGAGGUGGCUCGCAAAGUCUCGCGCCAUUCCGAGUGCAGCGGACGAAGUUGGCCAGCCCCACCCCCCAAGGCUAUAUCCCACCCGUUUUUGUGGCCUUUUUCCGCUGGACGAACUUGGCGCCCCGGCCUUCGGGCGGUUAUUUUUCGGUGCGGCUUUUCCCGCGGCCUAUUUUUGGCACACGGAGGCCCCUCGUAAAGUCUCGCGGCAUUCCGAGUACGGCGGACGAAGUUGGCCAGCCCCACCCUCCAAGGCUAUUGCCCACCCGUUUUUGUGGCCUUUUUCCGCUGGACGAACUUGGCGCCCN